GUACGCUGGCGGCACGCCUAACACAUGCAAGUCGAACGAAGUAGCAAUACUUAGUGGCAGACGGGUGAGUAACAUGUAGGUAUCUACACUUUGGCCUGGAAUAACACGAGGAAACUUGUGCUAAUACUGGAUAAGUCUUUACGGAGAAAGCUUUAUGCACCAAUGGAUGAGCCUGCACUUGAUUAGUUUGUUGGUAGGGUAAUGGCCUACCAAGACUAUGAUCAAUAGCUGAUUUGAGAGGAUGAUCAGCCACAUUGGGACUGAGACACGGCCCAAACUCCUACGGGAGGCAGCAGUGGGGAAUCUUGCACAAUGGAGGAAACUCUGAUGCAGCGAUGCCGCGUGAGUGAAGAAGGCCUUUGGGUUGUAAAGCUCUUUCGUCGGGGAAGAAAAUGACUGUACCCGAAUAAGAAGGUCCGG
This 420-nucleotide ribosomal RNA is filed under the name uncultured bacterium. RNAcentral's name for it is "bacterial SSU rRNA". It matches the Rfam family "Bacterial small subunit ribosomal RNA", at positions 31 to 496 of the family's 1533-position model. The record is from RNAcentral.